GGCGACGGGCAGCUAUAAUGCAAGUCGAGCGAACAGACGAGGAGCUUGCUCCUUUGACGUUAGCGGCGGACGGGUGAGUAACACGUGGGUAACCUACCUAUAAGACUGGGAUAACUUCGGGAAACCGGAGCUAAUACCGGAUAAUAUUUCGAACCGCAUGGUUCGAUAGUGAAAGAUGGCUCUGCUAUCACUUAUAGAUGGACCUGCGCCGUAUUAGCUAGUUGGUAAGGUAACGGCUUACCAAGGCAACGAUACGUAGCCGACCUGAGAGGGUGAUCGGCCACACUGGAACUGAGACACGGUCCAGACUCCUACGGGAGGCAGCAGUAUGGAAUCUUCCGCAAUGGGCGAAAGCCUGACGGAUCAACGCCGCGUGAGUGAUGAAGGUCUUUGUUUCGUAAUCUCUGAUACUAUUGUUAUCCCCUACUUUCCUCA
RNAcentral lists this ribosomal RNA (435 nucleotides) under Staphylococcus hominis. RNAcentral describes it as "bacterial SSU rRNA". It matches the Rfam family "Bacterial small subunit ribosomal RNA", at positions 38 to 465 of the family's 1533-position model. The record is from RNAcentral. Lineage: Bacteria; Bacillati; Bacillota; Bacilli; Caryophanales; Staphylococcaceae.